Molecule: long non-coding RNA, 1307 nt
Filed under: Manihot esculenta (cassava)
Lineage: Eukaryota; Viridiplantae; Streptophyta; Magnoliopsida; Malpighiales; Euphorbiaceae
Description: long non-coding RNA (MESC_LNC008743)
Rfam family: MIR159 microRNA precursor family (bases 394-596)
Source: RNAcentral
UUUGCUGGUGGUUUUUCAGCCAUAGCAUACGUGGAUGCUAUAUAAGGAAGGCUUAAAGACUCCAUAUUGCUUGAAUGGCUCUAGGUUUUUUCUGUUCUACACAUGUACUAGGGCAUUAGGUCAUGGAUCUGCAACUUUCAUGGCUGAUUAAGAAUACCCAGUUUAGUGUUUUUCUGUUUUACUGGUUUCGGGUAGUUGAAUGUAUGGAUCUAAGGGUUUCUGGUUAGGGUUUACUCUUGUGAUGAUCUCUUACCUCUGUUGUGGUCUUUAGGUCUAGAUCUAUGAAACAAAGUGAAAAGAAAAGAAGGGGGAAUUAGGGUUUUGAUCUAGUGGGUGGAUUUUCUUUCUUUCUGGUUUGUGGAUGUUCGGGCUUUCAUCAUGCAGUGUUAUUAUGGUUGAGAAGUGGAGCUCCUUGAAGUCCAAUAGAGGAUCUUGCUGGGUAGAUUGAGCUGCUGAGCUAUGGAUCCCACAGCCCUAUCUCAUAAUAAAGACUUUAGUCUUCUUGGAUAGGCUUGUGGCUUGCAUAUCUCAGGAGCUUCAUUACCUCUUAUGUUAGAUCCUUGUUUGGAUUGAAGGGAGCUCUACAUCUCAAUCUUUCGUCUCUCUUCUGUUUUGUAUUUUGUUUUUGAUCUUUAAUCUGAUAUAUUUCUUCAUGUAUUUUUGCCUUUUUCUUGUUUCCUUUGCUGUUUCAGGUACUGAUUGCUUUUAAUUCAAGAACUGCGUUUUUCUAUUCUGGGUACAUGGAGGCCUGACUGCUUGCGCAAGCCAGAGAUCUGAGCUUUGAUAAAGUGAUCUGAGUUUUUUUUUUUAAUUUAUUUUUGGGUUUCUGGCCAAUGAGAAAUUCAAGAUUUCUCAGGCUUAGAUCACACCCUUCACAGGAUAGAUUUACUGUACCUUUUCAACAAUUAUUAUCUGUACAGUUCCUGUUAUACAAGAAGACAUCGGCUUUGAAUUUGUAUGAAUAUUUGGCUGGAGAUUAAUUUGAAGGAAUAUUUAACCUAGAUCUUAUCCAUUUUGUCUUUAUUGGUAUUAAUUUAUUGAUUUUUCCUGAUGAUUUUUUUCCUAAUUAUGUAAUUAGGAAAACUUUGGCCUUUGUUUGAUUAUUUUCUAAUUUCUAGUUGAUUAAUCUCUGCAAAUUCUGAUCUUGCUGAAAUAUUAAAUGUAAUGAUAUAUUAUUAAUUUGGUUUCAUAUUAGGUUAAGAAAAAAAUUAAACAAAUAAAUGUGUUUAAUAAAAAUUGGUUAUGAAAUUAAAAAACUUUGGAGUUUCCGAUGUAAUUAAUCUUUCGUUGUCAUUGCUAGUUGGAGC